GACGAACGCUGGCGGCGUGCCUAAUACAUGCAAGUAGAACGCUGAAGCUUGGUGCUUGCACCGAGCGGAUGAGUUGCGCACGGGUGAGUAACGCGUAGGUAACCUGCCUGGUAGCGGGGGAUAACUAUUGGAAACGAUAGCUAAUACCGCAUAAGAGUAGAUGUUGCAUGACAUUUGCUUAAAAGGUGCAAUUGCAUCACUACCAGAUGGACCUGCGUUGUAUUAGCUAGUUGGUGAGGUAACGGCUCACCAAGGCAACGAUACAUAGCCGACCUGAGAGGGUGAUCGGCCACCCUGGGACUGAGACACGGCCCAGACUGCUACAGGAGGCAGCAGUAGGGAAUCUUCGGCAAUGGACGGAAGUCUGACCGAGCAACGACGCGUGCGUGCAGAAGGGUAUCGGAUCGUAAAGCUCUGUUGUAUGGGAAGAAAGAGUGUGAGAGUGGAAAGUUCACACUGUGACGGUAUCUUAACAGAAAGGGACGGCUAACUACGUG
Molecule: ribosomal RNA, 497 nt
Filed under: uncultured bacterium
Lineage: Bacteria
Description: partial 16S ribosomal RNA
Rfam family: Bacterial small subunit ribosomal RNA
Source: RNAcentral